This is a long non-coding RNA of Pan troglodytes (chimpanzee), 6892 nucleotides long. RefSeq lists it as uncharacterized. The record is from RefSeq and is a predicted model, not a curated record. NCBI's taxonomy places the organism in Eukaryota, Metazoa, Chordata, Mammalia, Primates, Hominidae. The transcript has 3 exons.
ACCUAAAGAGUAUGAUAUCAUCAUUAAGCUUCUUAAAAAUGAUACAAUUUUUAAGUACAUUUUUUAACUUGCAAAAGUAGCACAUGGCAAGUGACAUAAGUUUAUAAUAAAAAAUGUUAAUAAUCCUCUGCUUCCGAUCGGUCUAGUUCUCAUGACCAAGGCUGACAUUUUAUUGCAAUAAAUAGCAAUAGCUUUUUCUACAAACAUUUCUCUUGUUUUCUGCAGAAUAUCCAGAAUUCAACUUAUUGAAUACAAAUAUAUAAUCAUUUUGCUAAUUUGAACAAAUAAAUCAGAACUUCAGCUUUGGAAAACCCUUGAUAAAUUUGUUCACCUCCUGAGGACCGACUCUUACUGGUUUACUCUCCGUUUACUUACAAUGUAGCAAAUUCAACCCUCCCUUCUGGAAUCACUCUGUUCUUUCUUAUUUCUCCAUCUCAAGCAAUCAAAUGACAACAAAAAUAUACAAUAUGUUAAUGAGUUUCCCUUUUUAAUUCAAAAAUUCCCAAAUUUUCCAUCCAUAGCAGAUGUGACAGAAGCCAACCACUCUCUGCCAGGCCUUGCCUCAGUGUAGACAGAAGCAGAGCUGUCAUUUGCUCCUCCAGCAUUUAUCUGCUUCUACGGUAGAGCCCGGCACAGGGCUCUACCACAGAAGACUCUCUGAAUCACCUGAGAGCUGCCUCUGUAGCUGUCCCUUAUCUGGGCAAGGGAAGCCUAAAGGCAGGGCUGCUGCUCAGGACAGCAGGAGGUCAAAAUCCAGUUCGAUGCAGAGAAAACAUUCAGGUCACCCUUUUGGGAAAAUCAACUUGAAACCUCCAACUAGUCCAGGGUUAAAUGAGACAGACUGUAGAAGACCAGGUGGGAAAGAUAAUCACCCUUGGCAUCCACUAGAUUCUAAUCAGUAAAGUGGAUGGAACAGCAGAGAACAGCAGAAAAUCUUGAAGUAAGCCAUUGCCCAGCCUGAAGGUCUUAAAUUAUUUAGCAUGUAUCAAUUAUGAAAGGCUUUCAGGCAAACACAAUUUCAUUCUAUCUUUGUCUUUCCUGUUUACAAGAUUUGCUGUACAAAGACGCUCAAGUGACCCCUUGUUUCUCUUUUUCUUGCUAUCUUUUCUGAUUAAAAAAAAAAAAGGUCUAGAAAUUGCUGACAGAGUCUAAUCUUUUUCUCCUGCUGUCUUUUUAGUCCUUUCUCUUUAUCUUCUCUACAGCCCUGGGACCCUGCCCUGUCCUCCAGGCCCUGAUUCUUCUCUCUAUAUUGGCAACUUUUUUUUUUGACCUCGAGGGCGCCCGCUGCCUGAAGCAUGUGGAUCUAGCUUUGGAAAACACUGCCCUUGUCUCCAGCCACCCAACAGCUGCUCGAAGAUUUUCCCUGUUGUGGGAAUUGGAUUUGCACCCUCCAUCAGCAAGUUCCUGCUCAUCAUACCUGGCAACUACAGACAGCUGGCCAGCAGGGAAAGUACUGGGAGAAAAAGUUAAUAGCCUAGAAAGGAACCGAAGUCCGUCAACACAGCAGCCUCUCUAAUUGAGCUGAUAAGCCAUUGGCAGGGAUCAGCAAAACCUUUGGCAGGAUCAGAUGUUGGCAACUGAGGCUCUCAGAGAUUAAGUGAAACGUCAGAAGUUGGAGAGCUGAAAGUACAGAGAGGUGUCUUUCUCUACUGAACGAAAUGCUUCUUCCUACUCACCAUGAUUACUAGUAAAAAUCUAGACUUGCAAAUGAAACUCUAAAAAGACAAAUAAUAAUACUGGAUAUGAUUUAUUAAGGACUGACAUUAUGCCAUUCCAGUGUUAAGCAUUAUCUCCUUUAAUUCUACAGUCCUGUAAGGUGUACAUUAGUGCCUGUACUUAACUAGUACACACUCAGAGAGGUUAAGUUACUAGCAUGGGAGCACAGAGCUAAGAAGUGAGAGAGCUAGAAUCUGAGCCCAGAUUUGUAUCUGGCCUGAAAAUGGAAGAGAUGCUAAUUUGAAAUUAUAUAUAUGACUUAAUCACUACAUAUUAUAUAUAUACAACAAAUUUUCUUAUGUACUCCAUACAUUUGCACAAAUUAAAAAAAGAAAUUACAUAUGAGCAUAUUGUUGUGUAUAUGUUAAAAUAAAUCCAUAGUUUAUAGGACUCCAUAAAUAUAACACCAUUUUAUAGAUAUGUAAAAUCUAUUAAAAAUAUUAAUGCAUACAAAAAUACAUUUAUCAAUACAUGUAUAGUACAUGAUAUUCUGAUUAUACCUUCAGCAGCUGGUGAAUAUUUGGAUUGUUUCUAGCUUUGGGUUUCUACCUUUUAUCUAUGAAUAAAGUUUCUAUGAACAUUUACAUGCAAGUGUUUGAGUAACCUCAGGUUUUCAUUUAUUUUGAGUAGAUAUGUAGGAGCAGAAUUACUGGGUUAUAUGGUAAAUUUACUUUUUAAGAAACUGUAAAAAACUGUUUUCCGAAACGGCUGUACCAAUUUACAUUCCCAUCAGCAAUGAAUGAGAGUUCCGGUUUCUUGACAUCCUCACCUAUUAUUGCUUGUCUUUCUAUUAUAGUCAUUUUGGAGGGUGUCAAAUGAUAGUUUUAAUUUUCAUUUCCCUAGUAACUAAAGAUGUUCAUCAUUUCAUGUGUUUAUUGGCCACCUUAUAUCUUCUUUGGUGAAAUAUUUAUUCAAAUCUUACCUCCCCCUUUUUUAAACAACUUUUUGAGACAGGGUCUUGCUCGGUCACCCAGGCUGGAGUGCAGUGGAGUGAUCAUAGCUCACUGCAGCCUCAAUCUCUUGCUUAUGCCCAUUUUAAAAUUGGGUUAAUUGUCUCCUUAUUACUGAGUUGUAAGAAUCUUUAUAUGUGCUGGAGACAAAUAUUUUAUUAGGUAUAUGAUUUUUUUUUCUAUUCUGGGGCUUGUCUUUUGAUUCAUUUUGAAGAGCAAACUUUUUAAAUUUUGGUGAAGUCCAAGACCAAUUUAUCAAUUUUUUUGUUGUAUUGCUUGGUGUUAUAGUUAAGAAAUCUUUUUCUGGCCAUGCACGGUGGCUCACGCCUGUAAUUCCAACACUUUGGAAGGCUGAGGUGGGCAGAUCACUUGAGCCCAGGAGUUUGAGACCAGCCUGGCCAACAUGGCAAAACCCUGUCUCUACUAAACAUACAAAAAUUAGCCGAGCAUGGUGACAGACGCCUAUAAACCCAGCUACUUAGGAGGCUGAGGUGGGAUAAUGGUUUGAACCCAGGAAGCCGAGGCUGCAGUGAGCCAAGAUGGCACCACUGCCCUCCAGCCUGGGUGACAGCGAGACUCUGUCUCAUUAAAAAAAAAAAAAAAGAAGAAGAAAAUUUUUUUCCAACCCAAGGCCACAGAGAUUUACUCAUAUUUUAUUGUGAAAGUUGUAUAGUUUUAGUUUUAUUUAGGUUUCCUACCCAUUUUGACUUAUUUAUGUGUAUAUGUAAGGUAAAGUUAUAUAUUCAUCUUUUUUAUUUUUAUUUUUUUUUUAGGCAGAGUCUGACUCUGUUGCCCAGGCUGGAGUGUAAUGGCACCAUCAUAGCUCACUGUAGCCUCUAUCUUUUGGGCUCGGGUGAUCCUCCCACCUCGGCCUUCGGAAUAGCUGGGACUAGAGAUGGCAAGCAACCACGCCCAGUUAAUCUUUUUUUUUAUUUAUUUUUUGUAGGGACAGUGUUUUGCCAUGUUGCCCAGGUGGCUGGUUUCAAACUCAUGGACUCAAAUGCUGCCCCCACCGUGGCCUCCCAAAGUGCUGGGACUGCAGGCGUCAGUGACAACACUCGGCCCAAAUUUAUCUUUUUGCACACAGAUAUUCAAUUGUCCUAGCACCAUUUGCUGAAAAAAAAUAUACUUUCCUCUAUUGAAUUACCUUGGCACCUUUGUGGAAAAUUAACUGACCGUAAAUACAAGGGUUUAUUUCUAGACAGUCAAGUCUGUUCUAUAAAUCUAUAUAUCUAUCCUUAUGCAAUAUCACAUGGUCUUAAUUAUUGUAGCUUUAUAAUAAGUUUUGAAAUCAGAAUGUGUAUAAGUCUAUCUGACUUUGCUCUCUUGUGAGAAUGUUUUGGCUAGCUAUUUUGAUCUCAACUCGUUGUGGUAUUCUACUCCAAAAAUAACUGACACUUUUCAGUGAUGCUAAUGAGAGAGAUGAUGAUUGAAUUAGAAAUAAUGAGUUCAUUUGUGGGUUUUUUUUGUUUUUUGUUUUUUUUUUUUUUACAGCCUGUAGCAUAUGCUUUUGUGUAACCUCAGCUCAGCGAGGGCCCAUCUUUUUUAUUUGAAUGGGUUUGAUUUUUGGCAAUGACGUCAAGUCAUGAUAGCCAAAUCUGAUGCAUGAGAUGAGUCAUUCAGCUCUAAUACCACAUUUUAGGUAAAAAGAUGAAUAAGGAUUACAGCCAUGUAAAAAUCUAUGUGCUUUUGGGAAAAAAAGAAGAAAAGACAUAUAAAUGAUAGCAUGAGUUCAUUCUUUCAACAAUACAUAUUGGCCACAUGUGAUAUGUUGACUACUGUGCAAGUUUUAGGGUAUAUAAAUAUGUGCGAAGAAACACUGGAAUUGUGUUUUACCCUAUCUCUCUCAUGUUUGUAAUUGUUCAGUAACAUCCUUUUUUUGCUAAGUUUUAUUGGACAAUUGACUAGACACAUAUUACAUGCCAGAUUCUAAUUUAGUUGCUUGGCUUAGAGAAGUGAACAAAAUCAACAAAGUUCCUUCCUCCACAGAGCUUACAUUCUAGAUGGGAGAGACAGACAAUAUCUAGACAAACAUGUAAAUAUAGAACAUAUUAGACAGAAGUUCUAUGGAGAAAAAUAGAACAGGGUAAAAUGGAAGGAAGAUUUUGGGGGUAAUAUUUCAUCUAGGAAGAUCUCUGUAGUAAGGUAACAUUUGAACACAGACCUGGGCUCGAUACAUGCAAACUAUAAUAUACAUUUAGUAUUCAGAUAUUUUAGAAUCACAGAUUCUCAGAUUUCAAAAGGACUUUGAAAUACAUGAAUUUUGUAUCACUUCUAUUUGUGAUCAUCUAGUGUUUGCUUGAACAUUUUUAGUGAAAAUAGCACAUUUUCAAAAGCUUAUUUCAUUGUUGGAUGACUCAAAUCUUCAGAAAAUUCUUUUUAUUGCUUUGAAACUAGUCUCUUGAAAAAUCCACAUAUUUUAAAUUUUCUCAUUGGAACAACCCAGAAUAAAUAUCAUCUCACAUGGAUUUCUUUUCCCAAAUCUUAUGUGUCCCAUGAGUGACUCUGAAAAUGGCUCCAAAAGGGAAGGCUUAAUGCCUUUUGUUUGUUCGUUUUUGUGUGUGUUUUUGCUGUGUGGCAGCAUCACUGGAAAAAGCCAUUAUGGCCUCUCAAAGACACUGCCUUAAAAACAAUAGUCAUUUAGAUAUCCUAGUAUAUUUGUUACAAAUCACUCCGAUUAUGAUAAUAAUCACAACUCACGAAUGAUCUUAUGAGUUGGUUCAAAUAGGUUGGAUACUUCUUGGUUCCCCCUGUAAGUAUCCUUCACAAACUUUAAAUCUCCUGGAUACAAUUCUGCUGAGUGAUCAAACACUACCCGCCUGACCCUGACUAGAAUUAAAUAUGGUGAAUAAUUUAGUUUUCUUUGGAACUUUGUCUACAUUGAAAAAAUCCAGUCACUAUAUGUUCCAAGCAUCACCAUUUUGUAUUUUGAGAUUUUUACUUGGUUGCAUUAUCUUUUUGGAUAUAAUUGUUUUUACAGUCAAUAAUACUCCAAGCCUUUUGACGAUUAACAUUUUUUGUUUAGAAAAAUCUGCCUUGGGAUAGAAUUUUUUCGUAGUUCUGGCUUCCCAAUGAGAUAUAUUCAGAUACACUCAGAUACAUACUAUCUCCCAAUAUAUUGGCAAUUCCCUUUUUAGUGAAAACAGAGCUUCCCCUUUCAACUUUUUUUCCUUUUGUUUUCCUCCUGAAAAUACUAUCAUCUGUUUGUUGGUUUGUUUAUUCAACGCACAUUUACCAACUAUGUUCUGUGCAACAAGUCUGUGCUGGAAGCUGGGAUUAUAAACAGAAAAUGGAAAUUGAUCUAGUCUCUGCCCUCAAGGAGUUCACACUCCUGGGAGAGAGGCAGACAGCUGACAAUAACACAGUGCAGUGAUGCCUCUAGCCAGGCGCCAGGGAGGGAAGAACCAUGGGGCACAGAUAAAGAAGCAAUAUAGCCUAUGUGAGUGGAGUCAGAGAAAGUGCAGAAUCAGAUAGAGCUUUCCAGGCUGAAAGAGCAGCCUCUGGGCAAAUGCACAGGAGUAUGAAAACAAAAACAAAAACCAGACUGUUUGGCUAGGUGGAGUAGGUGGAGAUGAGGCAGAAACUGGCCCUGAUUCAGGUACUACUUUUUAAAAAUGGCUUUGGUAUCUACCCCUCCCCACUCCUAAUAGCCACCAGUAUCAUGCCCUUCACAUGGUAGGUGCUUAUACAUGUUGAAUAUUUCUUUAUUUGAAGGGCUUUCUAGGCCAUGUCAAAGAGUUUUGGACUUUAUUACCAUCUAGUGUUAGGUAGACAUAACAUUAUCCCGUAGCAUCAUCCAUAGCCAUAGUUGCCUAACAAGGACACUGUUCACCUUAGCAAGUGUCCUGAUUUAAUAAAGACUCAACAAGAGAGUGGCAAAAACUCACCAGUUCCUCCAAAAAUCAUCAAUACCAGACCUGCCAGUAGAUCUGGUGUUUCCACAAUUAGUAUUCAUAGGGUGAUCAGAGAGAGCUCCUAAAUAUACAUGUAUCUAAUUCCUACUUCAGCCUAACAGUCUCUAUGGAAGGAGACUCCCACUUCCUAUAGAUGAGUCACUUUGCUUGUGGCUUAUGUUUUUGUGGCAGCUAUUGUUUAGAAGCGUUGCAAGGCCCUACCAAUUGUUUGUUUUCAUACUUUAUUAAUCCCCAAAUUUCGAGAAGAAUUUGGUAAUUUCAGAAACUAUUCCUAUUUUAAAAUAUUUGUUUAGGCAUUACUAUUUAUAUCCA